This 457-nucleotide ribosomal RNA is filed under the name uncultured Chloroflexota bacterium. RNAcentral's name for it is "bacterial SSU rRNA". It matches the Rfam family "Bacterial small subunit ribosomal RNA", at positions 8 to 457 of the family's 1533-position model. Lineage: Bacteria; Bacillati; Chloroflexota. The record is from RNAcentral.
AGAGUUUGAUCAUGGCUCAGGAUGAACGCUGGCGGCGUGCCUAAUACAUGCAAGUCGAACGAGGAGCCUUUGUAUUCGUACGAGGGUUUCCUAGUGGCGAACGGGUGAGUAACGCGUUGGUGACCUGCCCCGAAGUGAGGGAUAACAGUUCGAAAGGGCUGCUAAUACUUCAUGUGGUCGCGUUGGUUAGAGUCUAUGCGACUAAAGGAGCAAUCCGCUUUGGGAGGGACCUGCGUCCCAUCAGCUAGUUGGUAGGGUAAUGGCCUACCAAGGCGACGACGGGUAGGGGGCCUGAGAGGGUGGCCCCCCACACUGGCACUGAAACACGGGCCAGACACCUACGGGUGGCAGCAGUAGGGAAUAUUGCACAAUGGGCGAAAGCCUGAUGCAGCAACGCCGCGUGCGCGAUGAAGGCCUUCGGGUUGUAAAGCGCUUUUCUGGAGGAAGAGGAAGGACG